Molecule: ribosomal RNA, 454 nt
Filed under: uncultured Paludibacter sp.
Lineage: Bacteria; Pseudomonadati; Bacteroidota; Bacteroidia; Bacteroidales; Paludibacteraceae
Description: partial 16S ribosomal RNA
Rfam family: Bacterial small subunit ribosomal RNA
Source: RNAcentral
ACGGAAGGCAGCAGUGAGGAAUAUUGGUCAAUGGGCGGAAGCCUGAACCAGCCAAGUCGCGUGAAGGAUGAAGGUAUUAUGUAUUGUAAACUUCUUUAGCCAGGGGGCAAUAAGGCGUACGCGUACGCCGAUGAGAGUACCUGGAGAAUAAGGAUCGGCUAACUCCGUGCCAGCAGCCGCGGUAAUACGGAGGAUCCGAGCGUUAUCCGGAUUUAUUGGGUUUAAAGGGUGCGUAGGCGGCCCCUUAAGUCGGCGGUGAAAUUUCCGGGCUCAACCCGGUCACUGCCGUCGAAACUGGGGGGCUUGAGUGCGUUUGGGGUGGCUGGAAUGUGCGGUGUAGCGGUGAAAUGCAUAGAUAUCGCACAGAACGCCGAUCGCGGAGGCAGGUCACCAAGCCGCAACUGACGCUGAGGCACGAAAGCGCGGGGAUCGAACAGGAUUAGAUACCCUGGUA